GCUGGGAUAGCUCAGCUGGUAAAGCAUGAGACUGUUAAUCCCAUGGUUAUGGGUUCGAGUCCCAUGUUGGGCA
This is a non-coding RNA of Zootoca vivipara (common lizard), 73 nucleotides long. Lineage: Eukaryota; Metazoa; Chordata; Lepidosauria; Squamata; Lacertidae. The record is from the annotation of a RefSeq genome assembly.